This 582-nucleotide ribosomal RNA is filed under the name uncultured freshwater bacterium. RNAcentral describes it as "bacterial SSU rRNA". It matches the Rfam family "Bacterial small subunit ribosomal RNA", at positions 8 to 607 of the family's 1533-position model. The record is from RNAcentral.
AGAGUUUGAUCCUGGCUCAGGAUGAACGCUGACAGAAUGCUUAACACAUGCAAGUCGAUUCAAGUUACCUUCGGGUAAUGAGGAUGGCGGACGGGUGAGUAACGCGUAAGGAACUUGCCUCUUGGUCUGGGACAACUGUUGGAAACGACAGCUAAUACCGGAUAUUAUGAGAUUCUCGCAUGGGAAACUUAUGAAAGCUAUAUGCGCCAAGAGAGAGCCUUGCGUUCCAUUAGCUAGUUGGUGGGGUAACGGCCCACCAAGGCGACGAUGGAUAGCCGGCCUGAGAGGGUGAACGGCCACAAGGGGACUGAGACACGGCCCUUACUCCUACGGGAGGCAGCAGUGGGGAAUAUUGGACAAUGGGCCACAAGCCUGAUCCAGCAAUUCUGUGUGCACGAUGAAGGUCUUCGGAUUGUAAAGUGCUUUCAGUUGGGAAGAAGAAAGUGACGGUACCAACAGAAGAAGCGACGGCUAAAUACGUGCCAGCAGCCGCGGUAAUACGUAUGUCGCAAGCGUUAUCCGGAUUUAUUGGGCGUAAAGCGCGUCUAGGCGGAAAAAUAAGUCUGAUGUUAAAAUGCGGNG